Molecule: small RNA, 28 nt
Filed under: Bombyx mori (domestic silkworm)
Lineage: Eukaryota; Metazoa; Arthropoda; Insecta; Lepidoptera; Bombycidae
Description: ovarian small RNA-19431
Source: RNAcentral
UAAGUGCGGAUACCAUUCGUUGGUUCUC